UACGGAGGGUGCAAGCGUUGUCCGGAUUUAUUGGGCUUAAAGGGUGCGUAGGCGGCCCGGUAAGUCAGUGGUGAAAGCCUCCAGCUCAACUGGAGAACUGCCAUUGAUACUGCCGAGCUUGAGUACAGAAGAGGUUGGCGGAAUUGAUUGUGUAGCGGUGAAAUGCAUAGAUACAAUCAAGAACUCCGAUUGCGUAGGCAGCUAACUAGGCUGUAACUGACGCUGAGGCACGAAAGCGUGGGGAGCGAACAGG
RNAcentral lists this ribosomal RNA (253 nucleotides) under uncultured bacterium. RNAcentral's name for it is "partial 16S ribosomal RNA". It matches the Rfam family "Bacterial small subunit ribosomal RNA", at positions 524 to 776 of the family's 1533-position model. The record is from RNAcentral.